AUCAAUCAAUCACCCUAGUUUUCGUUAAGCCGUCAUGCGAAGCCACCCCGAGAGCUCAAGAAACGAACCGUUGAAUCUUUAAUUCCAUAGUUUUAUAAUUAAAUGAACGGAGGCUAAAAUUUGUUUGAAAUUAGUUGUUAUUGAAUUUUUUGCGAAGAAGAGUAGCACGCAAAUCGGCAACGUCAACCUCGUUGAUGUUCUCUGGUUUGUAGUAACCAGUGACAGGAUCUGGCACCCAUGAAACCUCGUAAGUGGAGACCCUUUUCUCUUCCCCU
RNAcentral lists this long non-coding RNA (275 nucleotides) under Phaseolus vulgaris (common bean). RNAcentral's name for it is "long non-coding RNA (PVUL_LNC002692)". Lineage: Eukaryota; Viridiplantae; Streptophyta; Magnoliopsida; Fabales; Fabaceae. The record is from RNAcentral.